RNAcentral lists this unclassified non-coding RNA (1613 nucleotides) under Anthonomus grandis grandis. RNAcentral describes it as "transmembrane protein 201". Lineage: Eukaryota; Metazoa; Arthropoda; Insecta; Coleoptera; Curculionidae. The record is from RNAcentral.
UUUUGAUGCUUCCUUGUUUACGGCCCUAAGCAACUGCCCCAAACAACGCCGUGUUUCUCUUUUUCUGGCACCCCUUAGAGAAACGACAACCCUUUUUUACUUUUAUACCGCUUUUUACAAGUUUUUACACUUUUACUCAGAAAAAAAAUGGAGAUUUACGUUUUGAUAGGGUUGUUCAUGGUCUUUCUCAUCGGUGUAGGGUUUUUGAAGUACCGGAAUGGUUAUCCUGUCAAUUGCUGGUUCUGCAAUUAUAACUCUAAAGUACCAUUUAGUGACCGUAACAGUUUUAUUUGCAAAUCCUGCAAGCAGUAUAAUGGCUUCAACAGGGAUGGCAGCUACAAUCGAGUCAUUGAAGCACAGCAUGAUGAAUCACUUAAUCGCCGUUUCUUACAAUUUACAUCCUCCAGCAGUCAGUUCCAGAGACCAUUUUUGCAAAGGAGCCCGUCUAAUGGACUGUGUGAUAGAUGCAACCAUAUACAAGAACUGAGAGUUCAGCAGCUAGCUAACUUUGUUCCCAUUCGGGAUUUUGACAGGGAGAUUGAACAUUUUCAAAAUGAAAUUGAAAAGGCAUUUCGGUUGUGUGACGGGUGUAACUUAAUUGCCGCCUCCCUCAAAUAUGGAGACAUCUUUGAGGGAGGACGAAGAACACUGCCGGAGGAAAGGUAUCAUCAAGAAGUUGAAGAACCUCAGCAACUUAAUAUGAAGCGGAGACGGUCGCCCAGAAGACCAAAUACCCCAACAAGGAUGGCGUUACGGCGAAGAAAGAGUGAAUAACAAGCUCAAUUUUUUUAGAAAAUUUAUUCAAAAUUUCAGGUAUAUUUAUCAUGAAAAUGAGCGGGUAAUGACAAUUGGAGGGAAUUUAAGGGAAACGGGCAAAAUUAACAUUCAGGAAACCAAAGGAAUGUCUAUAGUUUGCGGCGCAGGCAAGUGGAUGCCCAAUCUAAAUUAAGGUGAAUCAGCCUUUAUUAAUAGUCCAUAAACUUUACUGUUACCAGUUUUUUGGUAACUAAUAACAAUAGUUAUUACAGUUACAACAGCAAUCCAGGAGUUUAAGGCAAAAUUAUUACAGUGGUAGAAGGUCCACAUUUUAUGUCCCAUUAGGGUUCUUGGAGUGAAAAAUUAAAACACAAUUGAAGGAGAUUAAAACUAUUGUACUGUCGUACAUUUUAUUUAGCAGAAAAAUACAAGGAUGUCCUGACGAAUAUCGAAAGUCUUCUACAUCUCUUUAUUGUGCUUAUUGAGCCGUUCAAUAUGGCAAAUAAUUAUGCUGAAAUUAAUUAUUUCAAAAUUUACUGAAAUAUUCAUAAUAAAUUUUAGAAUGAAAUUUUAGAAAAAAAAAUGGGAGGGAAUUUAAAGAAUUGGCUGUUAAACAAUGGGCGAAACCAAAGGUGUCUAAAAUGUCUCAAAGCAGACAAGGCAAGAAGAGGAGGAAAAAAAGGACGAAUUAAAUUAAAAUUGUAAUACAAGGUAACAAUUACCCGCCCAUCUCCGUAGUUCCAAAAUCCCAGCGUCAGUUCUAUCCGACCUUACCAUCGAAAUUUUCAAGAUCUUUACAUAUAUUUAUAAUUUUUUUUAUACUACGGGGUUGCAAAUUAAAAUAAUUGAAAAAGUUA